Long non-coding RNA from Quercus robur (English oak), 2179 nucleotides. RefSeq lists it as uncharacterized. The transcript is spliced from 4 exons. Lineage: Eukaryota; Viridiplantae; Streptophyta; Magnoliopsida; Fagales; Fagaceae. The record is from RefSeq and is a predicted model, not a curated record.
UACUUACAGAUGUUUGGCAGGAACAAGAUGGUUGACAAAAAGUCUUCGGUAGGAAUCGGUCCUGCAGAGCGCUAUAAAUUUCCUUAUAAGAGCAUCUGUCUGUCCAUCUCUUCUUCCCAAAAAUCUCAGAACUUGUCCUUGCAAAGGAUGGGGUUGUUAUUGCAGAUGAGACUAGCAGCGUACGGCCCAGGCAAGCACGGGCAAAGAAGAUUCAAAAACGGUGGCGGAGCUAGGGGGCAUGGCCCCGUGGCUUUCUAAGUUUCCUAUUUGAGGUUGUGAUAAAAUUACCAUUUAAAUAAAUAAGAAAUCUCUGCCCCCUCAAAUUCUAGAAUAUGAUAGCCAAAAUUUGGUCUCCACCAUGCCGCCAGUCGCCAUGUGCCUAGAGCAACAGCAGCUCCCAACAACCGUCACCGGCUUGCAAGGACCUUCUCCGGCCAUCCAUGCUCGCCAGAAGCCAGUCGCCUCGGCCCUCGCUGUGACCCGCCACCGAUAAUGGUGGAAGCGAACUCUGAAAGGCGGAGCAAGAAGGCUCUGCCAUAAGUUCAGGUUAGUCGGAUUGAUGAGGAGAAAGAAGAGAUGGAUCAGGUUAUGAAGAGUCCUGGUUGGUUGAGUGCAUGGAAAAUCCACUGGCCGGGAAGAGAAAGCGGCCAGAAUUUUCGUAUUUGAGAAACUGGGAAGAAUGGAUUGGGAUGGGAGGAACGGGAGAAGAAGAAGAAGAAAAUGAUGAUGGUAUUGUUACAAAUGCGAUAAUAAUAAAAAUAAUGCCACGUCCUUGACAAUUGAUGGCUGCCCCUUCCUAAAGUCUCUGCCAGACUACUUGCUUACUGCUCCAUUAUUGAAGGAAUUGGAGAUUUCUGGUUCACAGCUUCUCAAAGAACGUUUCCAAAGAGGGACCGGAGAGAAUUGGCACAAGAUUUCUCACAUCUCUAACAUCAAAUUGGAUUGGGUGUAUGUGCAAAGAGAUGGUGAACCCCAGUUUGAUUCAAAGGGAAUCAGUCGAGCCAAACAAGAGGAAGUCAUACUUGCCACCAGAGAAGCAGUUCUUAAUUACUAGAAAUGGUAAAAACUAAAACUUUACUUUGAUUUUUACGUGUUUUUUAAAUAUGAUAAUGUGUGAUGUUUUUGGUAACAGCUACUAUAAUGGUUUGUUUUUUAAUCCCCGCUUUCUCUUCCUGAUCAUGGAUAUUGAAACUAUUAAACCCGGUAGAGCUGCUGCCACCAAACUAAUAAUUAAUGCAAGAUAUAUGGAUGGAACUUUGCUUGAUUUAUGAUGGUCAGAAUUGUUGCAGCUGUUAAUGUUUAGUGAUGGCUUAUUAGCACAGAGAGCAAGAUUGUUCAAGAAGCUGCUGGCAUAUGCAUCAUUUUCAAAUUGUGUUGGGAUCCUCCCAAUCAAAUGAUUGGAAGAGAGAUUGAGUAAAGUGAGCUUCAGGAGGCCAAGUUGGGGUGGUAUUUGGCCAGAAAAUUGGUUCUCUGACAAGUCCAACUCUGUAAGACCUGCCAAAUUACCUAAUUCCUCUGGAAUAGGUCCAGAGAUUUUAUUUUGGCGAAGAUUUAGAGUAUUUAACGUUUUCCAUGAUAUAAUAUCUGAUGGAAGGAUGCCUGAGAGUUGAUUUUGAUCAAGCAAAAGAGUUGUUAAAUAAGGAAGAGAUGUUCAUUACAAGCCUCAAAUACCAUCCUCCAGGAAGACACUCUAGCUGGGAUCCAACUAGAAAAUUGGUGAAUGUCAACCAGGAUUGUGCGGGUGGAGUUAUUCUGUGAGAGGCCAAGGUCUUCGAACUUAGAACAAUUGUAGUGAGCUUUAAGAAACUUGGGAAAGAAUGAAGUUGUUUGACUGUCCAAUAGAUGGUGGAAUGUUACCAGAGAAGCUGUUGACUCCAAGGUUGAGGCUGCGCAGGCGAGACAAGCUGUGAAUUUCCACCGGGAUUGUGCCGUUGAAGUAAUUCUGUGACAGGUCAAGGUCUUCUAGCUUGGAACAGUUGUAGUAGAGAGCUAUAGGAAACUCUUGAGAGAUGAAGUUGUUUGAAAGGUCAAUGACGUGAGGUUCUUGAGUUGUGAUGUACAGAAUUUGUAGCGUGUGAUAUACAAAAUAUAAUUUCUUUCUAAUGCACUCACUACAAUAGCAUAUUGUAUUUUGUUUGUGGGUGCUUUUAAAGGGUGCUGUACAGUACGCUCUUAUUAG